Molecule: long non-coding RNA, 243 nt
Filed under: Elaeis guineensis (African oil palm)
Lineage: Eukaryota; Viridiplantae; Streptophyta; Magnoliopsida; Arecales; Arecaceae
Description: long non-coding RNA (EGUI_LNC029513)
Source: RNAcentral
UGUGGGAUCACUUGCUUAGAUCUGACUAAACUUGAUCAAAUGCUGAAUCUGACAAGAUCAACCUCAUUAUUUUAGAGCUUGAUCAAAUGCUGAAUCCAACAAGAUCUGGCCAAGUUGACCUCAUUUCAAAAAGGCUGAUUAGAGAUCUAAGAAGUCAAGGCUCUUCGCUCUUUGAUUCUUGCAGCUUGAUAGUGCUGGGGCUCAAAGAAGACGGUUAACAAUUAUGAAGAGGGGUGGCCAAGC